This 252-nucleotide ribosomal RNA is filed under the name uncultured soil bacterium. RNAcentral describes it as "partial 16S ribosomal RNA". It matches the Rfam family "Bacterial small subunit ribosomal RNA", at positions 26 to 287 of the family's 1533-position model. The record is from RNAcentral.
AGGACGAACGCUGGCGGCGUGCUUAACACAUGCAAGUCAAGGGGGCCCAGCAAUGGGCAACCGGCGAACGGGUGCGUAACACGUGAGCAACCUACCGAAAUGUGGGGGAUAGCCGGCCUAACGGCCGAGUAAUACCGCAUACGCUCUCGAUGAGGCAUUUCAUUGAGAGGAAACCUACGGGACAUUUCGAGGGGCUCGCGGCCUAUCAGCUAGUUGGCGAGGUAACGGCUCACCAAGGCGACGACGGGUAGC